Nilaparvata lugens (brown planthopper) is the source of this 9879-nucleotide RNA transcript. RefSeq lists it as uncharacterized. The transcript is spliced from 3 exons. Lineage: Eukaryota; Metazoa; Arthropoda; Insecta; Hemiptera; Delphacidae. The record is from RefSeq and is a predicted model, not a curated record.
UCAGUUUCAGUUUUCUUUUCGUCCUUGAUACGUAUUGAGUGUUGUCUAUCGAUUCUAUCUUGUUUUGUCGCAGAUUUUUUCAAGUUUUCCUGUGUUACAAACAAAUUUGUUGUGUUAUAUAGCUAAAUUUGUAUUAUUUCUUUCAUAAUAUAAUUAGUGUUUCAAUAGUUUUCAACUAUUUUAACUAAAAAUCUUUUUUGAAGUUUGGUUCCUCAGCCACUCACACAAGAUGGCUAAACGUAGGCCCAACGUUUCACCAUACAGUGUAAUCAGUGAUUUCGAAAAUGAUUCGGAUUUGGAAGAAUUAUCAUGUGCAAAACGUAGAAAAUCUUCUGAGAGUUUAGUGUCCUCCACUGUGGCAUACGGUAUGAAUCAGGAAUGGAAACAGUUGAAUUGACUGAAGAAAAUGAGCACACCUACUCUUGUUCCCCAAUAAUUCUAACAAAUCCGCGAGGGAAGCAGGCUACAGAUAAUUCAGUAAGUACUUCAAAUAAAAAUUCGGGUAAAUGGAAAUCAAUUUUGAAAAACAGUUCAUCAACAGAAACCGUUCAAACAUCUGUGGUGGACUCCAGCUCAGCUUCUGAGCAGGACGAUGAUGAAGAUUUCACAAUAGAUCCUCGCCCACAGAAAUCGAGAAGAUCGAAAGCAAAAUGCUUUUCCAAGAAUGCUAUCAACGCGCGCAUAAAUCGCAUAAGGAAGAAACAGUAUGUAAGUAGUUUAGAAGAUGAUGUCAAAUCGUUGAAGAUCAUAAAGAAGGCUCUUUCCCAAGAGUUGAAUUCCAAAUCAACGGAAAUUGCUUCCCUGAAGAAUGAGGUUAAGUACCUGCGCAGUAUUAUCGCUAACAAUGGUCAGAUUGGGGGUUUGUUGAAAAGAAUUUGUACAAACAACAGUAUUGAGAUUAGGUCAUCAGUUGUACAGCAAAACAACUCACAAUGUCUCACUUCCAACGAAGUGUGGGAAAGUGAUGCCACCAAUGUAUCACCCAUUCUCACAAACAGUAUUGACUUUCCCAAAAGUAUAGACACUGAUUUCGAAACCGAUGCUUUACUAGAGUCAAAUCUUGAUGUUCUGUUAGGGUCUACAUGGAGUUCCUCUGCGACGCCAGCUUUAGAUUUGCCUGAAAAUGACGAGUUUUUCCGUUGUGAAACGCCUUCAAAAUACCUGGAUAGCUUUGGUGAUAACCAAUCAGACUACGGAGUUUGUUUACAUGUUGGGAGGAAUAGGAUAUCGUUGGAGUUUUGCGCAGCCUGCAAUGAAAGCGCUUUGAACAAUUGGAGUUCAAAUAUGUUUGACUGAACAAUGUGGUUGACAGAAUUAUCCAAUCUUAUUGGAGAUUUCCCAAAUUCCAUGGUUCUAAACCAAAGUGAAAGGAUUACGAGGAGACAGGAGGAGAAAUGUGUGAAAGGAAGGAGAGUGAAUCUAAGGAUAAACGGAUGAAUCUAGGAGAUAUCGAAAAGCUGAUAAAAACUUGCAAAUAAGCUGCGGCGACUGGUGGCGACUCUUUGGAGACUUGCUACAUCACACUAUGUUCAAUGAACAUGAUUUUAAAUGGUGUGUAUUUAAUUUUUGAUGAUAUUGUUUUUCCAAGUUCUAUGAAAGUAUUUGUCUGUGCUCAGUUAGUUCAAUUCUAGACUUCAGAUCUUAAAAUUAUAGACUUCCAUUUUUUUUUUCAAUUUUGAACACUUAAAUUACGACAUAGCUGUCAGUUAUAUCUAACUGCUUAGAGUAAUUCUGCUUUAAUUUAAGUAUUCAAAAGUGAUUAUUAACAAGCAGUUCGUAAUGGAAAGAAAUAUUGAAUAUUUUUAUUUUUUGUUGAUUAAGGCCCGGUUGCACAACAGCCGGCUAAAUUUUAACCGGGAUUAAUUUUACGAGAACUAAUCAGAGAAGGCCCUUUUGAUAAGGCUUCUCUGAUUGGUUCUCGUAAAAUUAAUCACUGAUAAAAUUUAACCGGUUUUUCUGCAACCGGCACAUAGACUUUCAUUUUUUGUUGACUAAGUGUAUUACAAUAGAGAAACAAUAGCAUAAGUAGAUAUCCUAUGGUAUAGGACGUUUAUGUCGCAACUUUUACUGUUAUCUCAAGCCGAUAGUACAAGUAAUUCUUUCCGGUUAAGCUGUGUGACACUGGUAGUCUCUCAUAUUUUGCCGUUCAUACACACUCACCCCAACAAAACAGUAAAAUUCGACAAUAAUCAACAGUAAUCGGCUUGAGAUAACAGUAAAAGUUGCGUCAUAAACGCCCUAUACCAUGGGAUAUCUACUUAUGCUAUUGUUUAUCUAUGGUAUUACCUAUUGAAUAAUUAAUUGUAUUAAUAGUGAAUUUAUAAUCGUAGUUCGUGAUGGAGACCUUAAUUUAUGAAUUGACAACUGAGAGAAUAAGACGUUGAUGUUGUCAAUACCACUAUCUUUGUUCAAAACUUAAUUCACAUUACAGAACCAGCUGUUCAUGGUAACACCUAACACAUCUUCAGCUGAACUAAUGUGGUAGGUGUUACCAUGAAACCUGGUUCUAUAAUGUGAAUUUAUUUUUGAACAAAUAAUAUAGUGGUAUUGACAACAUUAACGUCUUUUUCUUUCAUUCAUGGAGAAAUACUACAAUCUCAUGCCAUACAAUCAGACUUGACAACUCUUUAAAUUCAAUCUUUAUUUUAGCUUCUAAUCCUAGUCUUAAACCCACCUUUUCAACUUCAAAAUUAUGACUCCUUGUCAUUGAAUAUGUCUCAUCAACUACAAAAAUUAUGACUAAAGCUAAAUAAAAGAUUGAGUCGAAAAAGUUUUCAAGUCAUCAAUUUUGAUCUCCAUUACUAACUGCAAUUUCAAAUUCACUAAUAAUACAAUAUUACUUUAUCAAUAUUACCGUUGUGGGUGAUACACUAAGACCCGGUUGUACAACAGUCGGUUAAAUUCUAAUCUUGAUUAAUUUCACGAGAACCAAUCAGAGAAGCCGUCUUAUCAAAAAGGCCUUCUCUGAUUGGUUCUCGUGAAAUUAAUCACGGUUAAAAUUCAACCGGCUUUUGUGCGACCGGGCCUUAAUCAACGAAAAAUGGUAAUCUACUAUUUUAAAAAAUUAUGAAAUAAUCAAUCUCAUUAUCAUAAAAAAGUUGAAAUAAACAUUUAAUUAUUGAACUUGAUUAGUUCUUCUCAAAAAUAUGUUUAGAAUGAUUACAGUAGCAAUAUUUUGUGCUUUCUUUUAAAACCUUCAAUGUAGGAGUCCUGGUUUGAGAACGGGCCUGUAAAAUGAGGGAUUAUACAAGAAAAGCCAAAGCAUUGGGAAUUAUUGAACUCGUGACUUACUUAUUAUAAUUUAUCAAAAUUAUCGUAAUCCUCAAAACAACGGUUCCCCCAAUAUUGCUCCCUAGGGUAUUUUUAAAUAGAUUUCAAAUUUUCUUCAAUGAAUAUUUAUUGUUAGUUUGAAAUACACAGACAGGUAUUUUUAUAAGAGAAAAAUAAUCCAAAGUCAUUUCAGUGUUAAAUUUAUUCAAUUAGUAAAAUCAUUUUUUCCAAUAUUUUCAUGAAAUCACAAAAUUUGUACCUUCUUGGAAGUUUACUAGAUCCAAUAAUACAUAGUUCUAUACAUAAUUCUAUUUGAAAAUUCUGGUUUCUUUGAGAACAGAGAUAGAAAUCCCUUGAUCAUUCAUGUUUUUUGAAAACAUAUAAAACCAUAGCCACCUCUAAUACAGAGGUGUAUUAAAGGUGGCUAUGAUAAAACCCUCUGAAACAUAAGUUAAAAAUUAUUAACGUACAAAAAUCAUUCAACAUCACCUUUCAAAUAAAAUAGAAUUUUUAAAGAAAGUUUUUGUCUUGUAUGUGCUUCCUUGAUUUUGAUAUUAUUUUAUCAAGUGAUUUAGAAUUUAUUUGAAAUUAAUGCUGUAUCUAAGCUUAUUAUUGACUAUGGGGCUUUAGGAAAAAUCUCCAAUUAGUUUCAAUUUGUUAUUUUUACAAACAAAUACUGAGUUCUAGAAAAAUACAGCAGUAUUCAUUUUUUUCUUGUAAUUUGACUGAAAUCUAAUACUUUGGUUAAUGAACAGUUCAAUUCUAGCUUAAAUUAAUAGGUUUAAGUUUGACACUAAAGGGGUAUAUCACUCCAUUUUUCACUAUUCAUUAUUUGUAUUUUAGAGUACUGUAUUACAGUAAUAGUCAGUAAAGCUCUGUGAAUAAUAAGAUUCGAGCAAUAACAUAGGAACUUUUUCACCAGAAUAAUAAUAUUCUUUCUCUCUUUUUAUUUUUCUUUAAAAUUUUAUUCAUUCCACUCCUAAUAUUAUUAAGCCUAUUUAAAAGGCUAUUCCUUUUCAAUUGUUUCAUUGUCUCGUCAAUAAAACUCAUUCUAUUUUCAACAUAGAAAUCGAGUUGAUAUUAACAGAAAUUUUUAAGUAUUAAAAUGUCAACUAAUAUUCCUUACUUUAUGGAAUAAAAUAAUACACUUUUGUAAAAGUAUGUGUUAAAAUUCAUGUCAAGUAAAUUAAAGCAGCACAUAAGACAAGAACAUUUAGUUUUUCCCCCACAUCUUUAACGAAUACUAUGAUAUUUUUAUAUCUAAUAUUUCAAUUUCUCCAUAAAUUCUUCUCAACUGAAAUGACUUUCUCAUCAACUUUUUGGCCGAUUUUAUCACUAUUUUUUGGUUUACAUGAUGGACGAGGAGAGAAGAGAGAGAGAGGACUACAAAGAGAGGAAAGGAAGCUUGAGAGAGAGAAGAAGUUUCCAAUCCAGAAAAUAGAGGUAAGUAAUAAGGUAGGUAUUAUUUUUGAUAGUUGAUUUGUUUUUGAGCUAUGUAGGAUAUUUUUUGAGAAUGAUUUAAUAUAAUUUAGUGAGAUUUACGUUUUAAAGUUGGUUGAAAUGAUGACAUAGUUGACACGUUUCUUCUUCCACCGCCUUAUUUUCUCAAAACAUACAAAUAAUAAUACAGUACAGUGUGUUCACUUGAAAUAUUUAUUUAUUUAGCGUAUGGCAGACAUACAACAAUAUAGCUCUCAUAUAAUGACGGGGUUAGAAUUCAAGGGGUCCAAGUGACAUAUUGUUAGUUUCGAGAAAAUUGUGUAUGAAGUUUACUUACAUUAAUUAAUUCUUCAUCCAUGAAAUGAAUAUAAAAAUGAUAUUCACCUAUUCCUAUAACUAUUCAGUAUACUUUUACCAAAUCAAACAUACAGUUUCAUGUCUCAAAUUGCUCUCCUUUCUUAAUUAUCAGCUAAAUAGUGAUAAGAAGUAUCACUUGUACCCCUUGUUUGCCAAAAAAAACUAUUGUCUAGCUACACAUAAAUUAUCAAAUUUACCAGCAAUUGAACAAUGAUUAAUGACCUCAUUGCAAUAUUAUCUGAUUCGCUAAUUGGUUCUUGAGGUAUCUCUUGCUUGGUGACAUGGCUUAAUCAAGGUUAAAUUUAAUUUAAUGGAUAAGAGCAACAGUUGAACUGUAAACAAGGGAUCCAAGUCACUUGGACCCCUUGUUUAAUCAAAUGAACAGCUGUUUGAGAAUAAUUUAGUUUGAAAAUUUUACACCAGAUAUGUCGGCACUGAUUAGACUUACGCUUAUACCUCUUGUAUACUAGGUUUUACCACUUUCAGCUAUCGAUUACUGUAGCUAACUCAAAAAAAAUGUCACUUGGACCCCUUGUAUUCUGACCCCCUCAUAAUAUAUAUGAGUCUCAAAUGCAUAGAUAUACAAUGUAUAUUUCCAAAUUCUUUGAGAUGUUGUGUAGUUUUCGGUCAGGAGAACUUAAGUUUGUCUGACCGCCAUUAUAGGCCUAACUAAAAUAAAUAUCACUUGAAAUAUAAAUACAUAUUAACACAUAAUCAUAAAAUUAUUGGUAAUGGAAAAACAUGUAUCUUGUUAUACAGGGUGGCACAGAUGGAUUGGGUGGUUUUAACAUACUUGUCAAACUGUGACUUUAAAAUCACAAGUCAUCAACUUGAUAAUUAUGCUUGAGUAGACCAAUGCGGAACGUUGAGGACCGACUCGAAUGCAUCGCUCGAGAAGGAGGGCAUUUGAUGGUUGUAAUUUUUAAAAACUAACGACUUAUUUGCUGUUUCUAAACUUCCAUUGUAACUACACGUUUUGCACAUUAUUUCAAUCCAAUGUACCUUAAACCUUUAAAAUUGACAGUCUAACAAGUAUCUUAAAACCAUCUGAUCCAUCUACGCCACCUUUUACAGAGUGUCUCACGAAAUGUGUAACAACCAAAGACCAUUUUACAUGAAAUUUGUAAUAGAAAAUAUCCUGUAAAUUUCUCUUUCAUCGACCUUAGUUCUCGAGAUCUAUCGAUUUUUCUGUUUUUGUAAAACGCCAAUAACUAGAAAACUAUUAGUCAAGAUCGAAUUCAAGGGUAUGGUUGAUUGAUUGAUUUUUAAUUGCCUUUAUUAAGGGCGGAGUUGGACUCCAGGUCCUCUCUGCCACAUAACCCUUGGAGAGAAAAAAUAUCAAAUGGGAUUCAUAUAAUUUGUUCCUCACUUUGUCGUUUUUAAACAUUUUAUGAGCGUUCAAACUGUUCUAAAUUUGGUUUUGAACUCGACAAAUGUACCACCUUCAACUUUGAACGGUCAUAAAAAGUCCAAAAACGUCAAACAAAGGAUCAAAUUAUAUGGAUUUUAUUAGAAAUUUCUUCCUCUUUCCAACCAUAUCCUUAAAAUUAGAUUGUGACUCAUAGUUUUCUAGUGAUUGAUGCUUCUGAAAAAUAUUUUAAAAUCGAUAUAUCUUGAAAACUAAGGUCGACAUAAGAAAGUUUUAUUCUAAACUAGCAGGUAACCCGUGCUCCGCAAAGGUUUAAUUAAUAACUUGACCUACUGAAAUGUUGAAGAAUUUAAAAUAUGCCUUUAACCAUCCUCGGUGAAUUGAGAAUCAAUAUGCAAAAUUUCAAGUUAAUCAGUUGAGUAGUUUAGACGUGAUUAUGCAUCAUUCGUGAAUUCCUUAUCCGGUACGUGUGUAAGCGAAUUCUUUCCUUAUUAUAUUAUAAUAGAUUUGCAUUAAUAAUUGCAAUUUUUUACAUUAAUGUUGCAAAUUUCAUGUAGAAUCUAUGGUUUUCGGCUGUUAAACCUUUCGUGGACCACUUUGUACUAGUAGUUCGGUGAACAGUAGACCUCACGCAGUAUUCUCAUCCACAAGUACCUUAUUGAAACUGACCUUAUACAGCAAUAGACUGGCUUCUCCACACAUCUGUGUAAUCACUUGACAGCUGAUUUAUGAUGAAUAAUUCUAUAAUCUGAUUUUUACUCUAAUAUUGGCGUAUGAAGGAGGCUCCUUUUUCCUUUUAUAUUAUCCUUGAAAUGCAAAAUUUCCAAAAAACCUUGUAUAUACGUCGACGCGCAAUUAAAAAAGGAACAUACCUGUCAAAUUUCAUGGAAAUCUAUUACCGCGUUUCGCCGUAAAUGCGCAACAUAUAAACAUUUAAACAUUAAGAGAAAUGCCAAACCGUCGACUUGAAUCUUAGACCUCACUUCGCUCGGCCAAUAAGAUGCAUGAAAACAGCGAUGUAUCAUAUUUGAUAUCUCUCGACACCUGAUUAAAUGUGGUUGCAGUGAGGUACAGAGAAUCUCUACAAGUAUCUGCCUAUGUCUAAGUGACAGAUGACGGAGAAGUUCAGUAUCAUUACACUGAGCGGCCUCAUCAAUGAUGCAGCUUGUUAUCCGUAGAUAUCUUCUCAUUGUGAGACUAUCUAGUCGUUAGGGAGGGUGUCAUGUCUGCGAUAUCUCAAAUGUGCGAGAAUCAGCUGAUCGGGAAGAUCUCAGAUGUGCGAAAUUUCAGUUUGUCUGGUUCCCGUUGCUUUUUGGAUACAACAUCAUUGUAUUCGUAUGAUACCUUAUCAUAUUCUGGAUCGAUAUUGUAUCAUGUGAAUUGAUACUAUAUCUUUUAUUAUGGAUUGAUACUGUAUCAUAUUCUGGAUCGAUAUUGUAUCAUGUGAAUUGAUACUAUAUCUUAUUAUGGAUUGAUACUGUAUCAUAUUCUGGAUCGAUAUUGUAUCAUGUGAAUUGAUACUAUAUCUUAUUAUGGAUUGAUACUGUAUCAUAUUCUGGAUCUAUAUUGUAUCAUGUGAAUUGAUAAUAUAUCUUAUUAUGGAUUGAUACCUUAUCAUAUUCUGGAUCUAUAUUGUAUCAUGUGAAUUGAUACUAUAUCUUAUUAUGGAUUGAUACUGUAUCAUAUUCUGGAUCUAUAUUGUAUCAUGUGAAUUGAUACUAUAUCUUAUUAUGGAUUGAUACCUUAUCAUAUUCUGGAUCGAUAUUGUAUCAUGUGAAUUGAUACUAUAUCUUAUUAUGGAUUGAUACCUUAUCAUAUUCUGGAUCGAUAUUGUAUCAUGUGAAUUGAUACUAUAUCUUAUUAUGGAUUGAUACUGUAUCAUAUUCUGAGCUGACACGUUUGCUAAUGUGAUACUGUGAGAAUGUACAAACUGAACGGCACAACGUCUCACUUGUUUCAGAUUUUCUGGAAUAGGCAAUCGCAGAUCUGAGGCACUUCAGUUGGUGCUUGAUGUUUAAUUCAAUAUGAUUUUCCAAUAAUUUAAGUUUCAAGUUCUCUUUGCAUCAGCCUGAUAAAUUGUAGUUCUCCAAUCAAUAGAAGUUUCCUUAAAGGUGCGUACAGACUGUCGCUCUGCUCCGCAACCGAACGUCACUCCAGCAGAGCGAUUGAUGAUCGACCGGCGAGCAAGAGUGGUUCGACCGGGGAACGCGAGAAGAUCUAACAUCUUCCGUAACGUUCAUGAUGGGUGCGUGGGCGGAGCGACUGUGGUUCGAUGGUGGUACGAGGGAGGAGCAUGCUCGGUGUUGGUUGGAAGCGCGAAUAUGAGUACGCAGCUUAAGGCUCAACUCACACUUACGCGACUCAGCAUGUGUUUUCAAUUGGUGAGGUCGCGGGGACUAGAAUCGACUGGUCUGAGUGUCACCAUUUGGAAACACAUGCUGCGUCGAGAAGAGACUAGAGUCGCAGUUUCAGCCUUACUCUUCAUCAAUUGCAUUAAUUUUUCUCUAUAAAAAUUCAGAUUUUUUCUUACUCACAUCUGGUUCUCUAGGCUUGUAAAAUUUCUACACUUGCUCCUCACAAUCCAAUUUAGCUGCGUUUCUGAACUGUGCUUCAACUAUACUGAGGUCCACGUUAUAAUGUCAGUAUCUGAUUAACAUUGGUAUUGCUAUCCUUGUCUAUCACUCGUUAAAGCAGAUGCCGAUAUCUUUCCUGGCUCUGAUAUCCUGCCAGAUUGUUUUUCAACAAUUUGGAAAUAUAAUGAAUUACCAAAAUAUUUAGUCUCAGUUAUGAAAAUCUAUUAUUAAAUCACUGAAACAUAUAUCUCCUUGACGAGUAUAAUUGAUCAUAUUAAACAAGAAUGAACAUUUAAUAUGACAUUAGAUAUAGGUAUCAGCUUUCUUCUAUAGACUUGGCAAGUCAGGGAAUCUGAUUCACCGAUAUCAGGGAAUCAUAUAUACCGGUUUCAGCUAUCCUCUGUAGAAGUCAUGGCAAGGAAGAGAAUCGACAACGCUUUUCUCCUAUCUUUCUCCUCUGCCAUUAUAACGUGGACCUCACUAUAGACAUUGAGGUGUCAGUUUGGCCCUCGGAUUUUCUAACAAUCUGAUCAGUGCGGUCAGUUUGGACCCAAGUUUUGAAGCUUAGUAUAUUUUUAUUAGUAGCUUUUGUAUAUUCUUCAAGUUUAAUGUCAAUUGCAGCAUUCGUGGGAGCAUUAAACAAUAUUCGUGAUGUUUAUUAAAAUUAUGAAUACUUUCAGAUAUCAAAAUAAAAUAUGAGAUGUCAAAGUAAAAUGAGAUGUCAAAAUACAAUAAAUCCGUCCAAUUUUGAUAUUUAUUUAGUACCUAGUCAACAAUGUUGUAUUUCUAAUCCGACCAUAUUUGCAUUUUAAUAGUUAUCUCUUUUUGUAUCAAGUUUGAUUUUAUAAAUAAAAUGUUGUUAACUUUGAA